Non-coding RNA from Phalacrocorax carbo (great cormorant), 11159 nucleotides. Lineage: Eukaryota; Metazoa; Chordata; Aves; Suliformes; Phalacrocoracidae. The record is from RefSeq and is a predicted model, not a curated record.
CCGCCGCCGGGCGCACGGGCGGCUGGCCGGCCGACCGACCGACCGGCCGCGGCCGCCACCCCCGGCCGCACCGCCGGCACCCGAGAGGCAGGAGAGCCGGGCUGGCUGGAGCGGUGUGGCGCUGAGCGGCACUUCUUACGUAAAUAUUUCGUAGAAAAUUCAAAGAUGGUUCACUGCGACGGAGGCUAUUUCUGCGUGCAAAUCUCAGAUUGUUCGGGUUGAAGCUUAAGACAUUGUAAGGUGUGUGUGUGGGGGGGUUGUCUGCGUGCUGUAAAACCGUUUUUACUCCACUCUUCGCUAUUCGUUGCCUCUGAAAAAUUCUCUCAAGCUGAUAUAAAUGUAACGGUAGCGGUCAGUACUGGAGCAUCAAUUCUCUACAGAAUGUAGAAAUGUGUGUUUGUUGCAUUAGAUCAUGCUCUGUGCUAAAUUGGUAUUAAUAUGUAUGUGUGUGGAAUGGCUGCUGACUUGAUUCCUCUUACUAGGCAAGCUCAAAACCUGGCUGUUUGUGGAUGAAAUCCAAUUUCCAUUCAAAGCUCCCUGGGAGGCUCAGCCUUAGUUUUAGUAAUCACUUACCAUUAAUACUGCCCCAAACCAUUUUUAGUACUUAAAAUAGAAAUUUCUUGUACAAUACAUAAUAUAGCACAUCACCUCCACUUACGAAUUAUAAGCCAGAUACAUAAUGCAUUAGAGGAUAUUAAAAGGUGGGCACUUUAACAUCUAAACAGGCUCUGCCCAAAAGUGUUCACAAAUUAAGAACUUGAUCCAGCACAGUGCAUAGGAAACUUUCAAUGACUUCUUUGGGAAUUGUGUCCCAGGAAUGCGAUAUCUAGGCUCCUCGCAGGCAGAUGAAAUAGAUGCGGCAGAUUCAGUAACAAUUUGAUAGCAUAUAUGGUCAGAAAAAUGAUUGUAUAAAAAUGGAACUUUCUUACUCAUCAUAUAGCCUUUGUAUCUAAGAUACUCUGACUCAUAAUUGCUUAGUUUACUGACUGAAAUAAAAUUUUAGGCUUCUGUUACCUUGGCAGUUGCUGACACAAUUAUGGCACAGCAAGCUGGGGACUGGUUCUAGCUCUUACAUUUUCUUUACUAAGUUCCAGUUGAAGAAUUUUAAUUAGUAUUUGAGCCAGAAAGAGCACAGCACGACUUGAAAAUUUCAGGUCCAGUUUGUAGGGUCAUCAGUCCUAAGAGGCCUCUUUUGAUUUGUAAACUAAGCAAAAGACUUAUAGAAAAUGUUGAAGACAAAAAUAAAAACCCCACAAUGCUUGAAUGAAGCCAUCUUGAGUCAAUUUCCGCAGUGGAACUGGAUAAAUUAUAACACUGCUCCCUUUAUCUCGCUGAAUAUGUCCCAUUCAUCUGUAGUAACGUUGAAUCAAACAAUUCUCUUGUUUUAAGACCACAUCUGUUUUACUGUGCACCCCACACCAAUUUUAAUUAUGUGGCAGAUCUGAUUGGAUUCAGCACCUGCAAGUCUUCCCUUUGGGAGCUCCAAUUAGCUUAUAAAACAUUUACUUGAUUGCGUUCUUUAAACAAAAGUAUUGUUUCAUCCUAACAACAGGAAUACUGAAGUGUAGAAUAAAAAAGGGUUUUAACGUGAUAAGCAGUGUGUAUGUUGUUUGUGUAUCUGUCUUCCAUAAGCUUAGAGGAAAAAGUGGUAAUCCUGAAACCUAAUUUCCUCAGACUCAGCAGAUGUCUGUCCUGCGUUAGUCUGUUUCUUUACUAACAGCUGUUUCACAAGUGCCUCCCCUUGUCUCUACAGAAUGCCUUUUGUUUAACAAUUUCCUGAUACCUUAUCUCCUAGUCCCACUAAGACAAGCUUUUUCAACUUUUCUGGUACAUACAAGUAGGGUUUUUUAUAGUUUAAUAGACACGUUUGUCUUUGAAGAAUUUAGCUAAAGCUAAAAUAGUAGCAGUUCUACUUAACUAAGCAAAUAGAUGAAUAUAAUAAACAUUUCAACAAAUAUUGAUUUAAUAUUAAAACCAGUACUAAUUAUUACAGGUAUGCUUCAGAAUAUGCUUAUUUCUCCUUAUUUCACUGCUUGGAGCGGUGAUGAUUGAGGUCUAGGGGGGCAUAUUGCAUAAAGUGCAGCCCUCUAGUGGUAGAGGUCACAGGGAGUUUAAAGCAAGCUGUGUUUUCUGUCAUGGGUGGGGAGCAAUGAAAUACAAGCAACCUAGGACACCGCCCUGCGCUAUAUCAGCCUCCGGCUUUGGUCAUGGUCCAAAGCGCAAGCAAAAGUAGUUGUGGAGGCCUGUAGUACAGCCUUGCUCCCACUCCAUCGUGAUUUCUAUGGAGAAAGGACCGAUGGAAAAGUAAAAAAAAGUCUCUAUCAUCAGAGUUUUCCUCUUUUUUCCAAAUCUGUAAUCUGUUGCUCCGCUUUUCCUUUUCAGCCAGCUCUAGACUGGCAUAUCUAACCAGAGAUGGUUGAAGCUGUCGUAGGAUCUCGAUUCCUUUUCUGCUUCUUUCAGCCAUGUCCUACCAGCCAAUGUAUUCUAUAACUUCAGUAUGAGUGAGUUCAGUGAUAGCGUAAAAUACAAAUUCAAUUUGCCAGCUUUAUUUCUAAAAACGCUCUUGGCUGGUGGAGGUGUGGAUGGUAGCGUUCAAACUAAUCUCUCCCACAGACAUGAGAGCUGUGCUUAGAAAUGAAAGGGAUUAGGGAGAGGCAUAAACCAAAGCAAUUAAGCAUGUAUUUUAACAAAUAGAAAUCUGCAGAAUAACUGAGGUGAAGUUCUAGUAAGCAUCACCUAAUCUGAUCAAGUUCACUUUGUCGAACAAGACUCAGCCUCCUGUUUCUUGUAGAGGUGAUGGUUAUUUCUCCGCUGACUAACAGAAUGAAAAGUUUGUUUUUCCCCUUAUGGGAAAUACAACAGAGCCCAAUAAUCAUUAGAUGAAAAACGAUACCUCUUAAACAUCCCGGCUUGGUAAAAGAAAACAGAUACAGUCUUUGUCCAAAAUGAUGCCGCUACUAUUGGCAGUUUUUCGUUACUGAAUGAUUGCUGGGAUUCCUGGUAAACUUUGGCUCCACUAAAAUUGCGGUUAGUGAUGAACUCAGAAGUCUCUUUCAAGUCUUUAACUUCUGCCUUCUUUUUGUCAAACUUUUUUUUUUCUCCAAUAAUCUAUUAGUUUAACUAUUAUUAUUGAUUAAAUUAUCCAAUUGUUGCUUUUUAAAAUACUGCAGAAGUUGUUCACCAGUAAAAACCUUUGAGUUUCAGUGGAACUUCUCCAAGAUCGCAGCAAUAUUAAUCUUAAUGAAAAUCAAACUCAGGGUUUGGAAAAACAAAAGCCAAAUAUGUAUUAGACAGAAAGUGACCUGAUUAUCUAUUUUCCCAUGCUUCUAUUCCUUUUAUCUGCACCUCUAUUAUAUGCAUUACAUUAUAUGUUUAUAGUCGCACUUUUCACAGAAAAGAGCACAGACAACUGCUAAACCCAUUCAUAUUCUAGACCAUUUCUGUGUAGUAGCUUUCUUUUUCCAGUAAACUGAGGAUGGUAACUUAAAAUCAGUAAUAAUUUGACCACACUGUUUAUCAUAACAUAACUAUAUUGGCCAAAACUCCCUUUCUACUGGUAGAAGGAGAGAGCGUGUCUCGGAAAUCAAUGUCCAUUUCUGCUGUCUCGGCAAAGAGAUCACCUGCCGCCUCCUAUUCCCACAAUAUUCAUCAAAAUUUGCAAAGGCUUUGUUAGACUUUUCUUCAGGAAUACAGAACUGAUUUUUUCUCAGUUCCACAUUACUGAAUCUGUAGAUCAGAUUUAUAAGCUGUUCCUCGUUUUUUUUAUACUUGGGGUUACCUGAGGACCUUUCCAGAGCUCAGUGUGAAAAAACAAGGUAGCCUCAGGACAAGAUCAUUUUUCAUCCCUCCCAAGAAAUUGAAUACAUGGAUCAGGGCAUGAUCCAUGAAACUCCAGUGGCUAGACACUUACCCCAAAAAGGCAUCUCCAUGGUGAUCUUUCUGUACAGUAAUUUAAAGACCUUUUAUUUCUCAGAAUGAAAGAAAUUGAAGACACUAUUUCAUUUGCCUUCCAAUAAUAGUAGUAUUUUCAGUUUUGGCUUUUUGUGUUGGUUCUUUUGUUUGUUUGUUUGUUUUAAUAGGAAAAUAGAUAAUUCAGGGAUUAAAACUGGUACAAACUGGGAGUAAUUAAUUGUAAUGAUACAAUGAUGUAACACAGUAUGUGAGAAAUAGCAGGAUCACCUUGUGUAGCUUAUGUCAGUCUACGGUGUUACUGAUUCUGUACCUCUUAGCACUGUCUUACAAAAUAACAUUGGUGAAGCACCUCUUCCAACUGAAUGCAGCCAGCUAUCACUCCAGAUGCUUCAGGAUGUAUUCCUCUAACAGGAUGGUGAAGAGGGCAUUUUUCAAGGAAUCAACAUACCCAUUUCCAAUCUCUUAUUAUAAUUGCUCUAGCACUAUCACUAUUUUAUGUCUCAUUUUGCCCACCCACCACCAACCGUUUUACUUCUUUGAAAUAUUGGCACUUCAGGAUAAAUGAAAUAUGAAAAAGAGAGGUGUUAACAGCAAAAUUAGUUUCUUUCUUUGUCUUGUCGAGCCUGGUCCCCUUCCUGAGAACCGAAAGACCUAGAACAAUGCAGCACCCCCUAAGCGGUCAUAAGGACACCUCUGCUAGGGCUCAGCCAUGCUCCCAAAGAGACUAACACCAUCUUGAUUGUCCUCAUAAAUUAAAACUAGUGAAAACAGGUUGUACUUUUAAAUGUAGUCUUACAAUAUAGGACCUUAUUCAGGAUUCUUGAAGCCUGGAAGUUUGCUAAAGUUCUGCUGACAAAUGAGAGUUAUUUUAGUGGAGAAGAUCAGAAAUACUGCCGGAAAAGGAAUGGAAAGGGGGGCAAGUAAACAUGUUGCAGAGGGGACAAAGGAAAAACAAGAAUGAGACAAUGAAGUCAAAGGAACUGUCUUUUCUGUGCUAUGUUUUAUAUUAAAUUAUGUAGCAAAAUUUGAGUUGCUCUGCUCAUUUUGCUCACUGCCAAAAUGUGUACUGCUUGAGAUCAUGAAAGACAAAUAUAUCCUAGUAAAAUUUUACUAGUAGACUUUCCUACUGCUAACCACCACCAAAGCCCACUUUUUUCCAGUAUAAUUUGUAAUCAAUCUUUCAAAUAAUAAGCUAUUACAGAAAAAGUAAUUUUUACAAGUAUAAUACUAUUAUAACAGUAGGCUUUUUGCCAACGGAAAGGUAAUAAAAGUCAUAGCUCUAAUAUUAUUGCAGUAGUAAUAGUUCCUAGUAGAGAUCCAGAGAUCUUUAAAAAUACUUUCUAAAGGUUUACCAUAGAAAAAUGCAUGUGCUAGUAGAUUACAAAUUAAUUUCCAAGAUUGUAGGUAAUUGUUACUGCUUUUAAGAAUAAGAAGUUACACUGGGAACCUCCAACUGAUUCUUCCCUAGAGUUUGGCAAAUGCCUUGGAGUUUUUUCUUGAUGAAAUAAUUUUACUUCACCAACAAAAAUUAACGAUUCCAGUGCUUUGUAUUUCUACCCGCUUGAAAUCAAUUACUACAAAAUACCCCUGAAUUGGAAAGUCUCCUGGUGGGGGAAGGUAAACAUAUAAAACUUAUUGUCAGGAUAAAUUGGCCAGAAUGAUUUGGCACAUAUCCUCAGAGUUUGCCAUGAAAACAUGUAUCCACGUGUCAGCUGCACACAAAGGCGAUCUGGCCCCAGAAGCAUGGGGAUUAGACGUAAUGCUGCCUCUCUGAGACAAAGGGUAUUCCUUAGUGCAGUGAGGUUAAAACAGACAGCUCAUCAGUAGUACAAGUCUAUCUAAAUUAUUCAGUUACUGUUUUGAGCCAGAAGGAAGGGUGGCAGAUUAUUAAUUACUUUUGGGGUUUAUUCAUCUUGUUAUUUUGUUUCAGUGAAAGCAGCACUGGAAACAUGAAAAGGAACCAAAAUAUGAGACCACUUUGACUUUAAUCACUUAUAAGAUAUGGUAUCGUUUUCUUAUUUUAAUAGUUGCAAAAUACAACUGAUUUGAUUUACAUUUCAGUAAGACUUAUCAUGAAGUUGCUACGAAUGUUUGUAAGUGGCUGCAUGACUUUAAAUUCAAUCAAAGUGAAUGGAACAACUCAUAUGCUCGAAGUAAAGCAUACGUUUGCCUACCUUACUGAAUUAAUGUUUCGUUUGUUUUCAGUUCAAUGGGAGAGAGCCGCGUUGCUUCAAUACUGCAGAUUUAGGCCACCAAAUCUCACCCAAGUAUGCAGUAACUCAAUGGGAAUCUUUCUGCUGCAGCCCUGAUCACCUUUCUGAAUAUGUGACUUUUAAACAUUUUCUUCAAAGAAGUUAUGAUUUGCUUUAAAUGUUCCACAUACAUAUAUUAUGUGUAAAACCUUUGGUUUUUUAAACCCUUCAGAUAAAAGAUAGAGUUCCAUGGACCUACUCGAUGAAAACAGUUCCAUUGACUUCAAGGGGUUUUAAGUCAUUCAAUACAAAAUACUAAAGGGGAAAAAAUAGUGGAGAGAGGAAGGAAACUGUAAGAAAUAUUAACAUAAAAUGCAAAGCAUUCAUGCAAUGAGGGAGAUUCUCUUCAUAUUCUAGUGAUGGGCAAUUUGAAUUAAUUUUGCACAAAAAUAUUUAGGGAUAUGAAAUAGAAAUAUAUAAAAAAAGUAUUUAGAAAUACAUAAUUUAUCCUUUUUAAAUUAUACAUCAGCAAAAUAACAGCUGGUAUAUAAUUUAAAAUUUGGCAGUUACAAAAGUGAAAACUAAAGACACACUUUCCAAUAAUUAAGAAUCACAAAUUAAGGUGAAAAUCUUUACAUAGAGAUUUUUCAUGUUGAUAAUAAGCAGAUAUAAAUACAAUGUUAUAGAAAGUUACGUUUUACACGUAUAUAUGUGUGUGUGUGUAUAUAUAUAAAAAGCCUGUUUCCUGUAAUUUUUCUGUGUAGUAUUUUGUUUGUAAUAUUUUAGCCAAGUAGGAAGACUCCUGUCUCAAAACUUCUAAAUAUUUGUGUUCUUGUUGUUCUUAUUUUCAUUUAGAGGUUUAAGCUGUUUGCUCUAGAACAGAAGUCAUAUAUUGAAACAGUAAAAAUAAAAUUACUGCAGAACUGAGUCACUGCAAGUGAGAUGAAUGCCCAUAAAAAAGUACAAAUCACAAAAUCCAGAAACGGGAUCAUCGUGCGUAUUAGCAACAACGCUUACAGAUUCAUCGAGGCUCACAACAAAGAAAUAUGCUGCAGAUUUGAAUUUGAAUCAAGUUACUCCACUGGCUGUAAUCAAUAAUUCUCCAAGAAUUAACCAACUAGAACAGGAAUUUGCAAAUAAAAGCUAAGAAUUCUGAUGACUAAGGCUGGGAAUUUGGAGGAGAAAUGGGAACAUGUGGGGUACAUCACGUUGGUUAUUUCCUGGUCGGAGAGCGUGUAAAAGAAUGAAGUGAUGAGUGCCGUCUCGUCACAACAGCAGACCAAAAUAGCAAGCUGGUAUAUAAAAUAACAUGAGGGAAGGUGGUCACAGGCUUGUCCUCUCAUCUGUCACUAGGCCUUUUAAUCAGGCUGUGAAUAGCAAGUCAGCAUGAUGUAAUGCUGCUGGUUAUUAUGCAGAGAUCUAAUGGCUGCCUCUCCUCUGCCCAAUUACAGCAUUCUCAGAAGUUCCCUCAGGACAACAUCACCUGACCACUCAGGCUACACAGAGCUCAGUGGUCCCCUCUGGGUGCCCUUAAAACACCACGUCUGAGCUCACAAGAGGAUUCCCCGAAAGUGCCAGGCUCUGAGAGUGACCUCACGCAUACCCUCCAUAUGAACCACAUCCUUUCACCUCCAUUAUGCACGGUUCCACUCUGCUGCAUGAAAUUCCCAGAGCAGCGUAGCACGACUGCCCGGCUUUCAUCCUGCACGGGCAGGAUGCACAUGCUCUCUCACAUCACAGCACGCACCUUAGGUACGUGAAAGAUCUUGCAUUAAGAAGACGAGCAGUUUUGGCCCGCAUCAGACAAAAAGCCUUGACGUGUAUAACUGCCAUAAAACCCAGGGAGAGUUCACCUAGUUAUGUUUAAAUCGUUUCUUAAACACUCUUCCGCAGAGGGAAUUAUGAAUGGGAAAUAUCACCCCAAAGUGUGUUUUGCAAUUUUAUGGAGAAAAACAGGAAUAAUAUUCUAUUUUACUGUGAAGUUAGAACUCAGAAUUUCAGUGGAUCAUUCGAACAGCAAAAAAUAAUUCUGCAAAUAAAUUACAUUUUUAUUGUGAGCUGUAGUAUUGUUAUCAGCACAGAUUAGUAAACUAUGAAAUAAGGAAACAACAUGGAGACCCUCUGCGCUCAGUCACAAACAGGCUAUAGAAAUGUCAUCACUAGCUGACAUUUCAGUUGUGAAAGUUUCUCAUUUCCUGCAAGCUUAGGCAAAUGAGGGAUCUAAGCUAUAUUUUAUUUUUUAUGGCUACAUUUUCCGGCAGUCAGCUGUUUCAGAUUGACAAUAAAAUUCCUAACGGUAGUUGUUUGUUCUUCUUUUGGGAAGUUUCUUUGGCAGGUUUUAUCAGCUUAAUAGUUGUUCUCCUGCUACUCAAGAGUGCUGAAGGCUGUGCUUAGAGUGAGGAACAGCAAACAAAGGUGUUGCCUUUGCAUCUUCCAUGGCCUGUAAGACCCUAAAUGUUGUCACCAUCCUUGUUAUUGUCUUCCCCAUUCAUAAUUUUUCACUGUGUAUUUGUCCUAAUGUUUAAUAUCAGGUAUUUUAAUAUGGAUUUUCUGAAUAAAGGGUGCUUAAUUCAUUGUCUGCUUUCUUAUAACUAUUUCUCCCGUUGGAUAUGCAUAUCAUAUGGUAUGUAUGUUCUUUGAAUAUGUCCCAGUUGUGUGAGUGAGCCAAACCCAAUGACGAAAUGCAAGAGAAGGAAAAUUAUUCAAAAAUAUAUAAUUUUUAAUUCACAUCCUCCUAACAAUAUGGAAUUUACUUGCAAAGCCUUUUUAAUAAUUUACAAAAAAAAAAUAAAAAGAAAACAAAACAAACUACUUGAGACAACAUCUGGUCUGGAAACCUUAUGUUACAGAUUUCAAAUGGCAUUCUCCCGAUCGGUAUCAAUGGGUCCAUCAGAAUGUCUUCCAAACCAUUAUCUGUCAUCUGUGAUGAGGAGUGCAAACUCCUUGAGGUAAAAACAAUAUAUACAUAGUAUUGAGAGCAUUGAUAGCACUUGAUAAUGGUAAAGGGGUUUAUGAUCAUAUACUCUAAUUUUUAAAUGCUUUUAUUUGAAAUUUGUAUUGUAAAGAUGAUGCUAGCAGCUAAGUGAGAACUUGUGACUCAUGAAAAGAUAACUGGAAGGCAUGUGUUAUGGCUUUCCAUUCUGUUCUAGACAUUUAAUAACAAUUGCUGGAAGGGAACAAGGAAGUCUGUCAUUCCCAUUGCUUAAUCCAACAAAUACCUUCACUGGCAUUAAGAAAGUUACUGGUGUGAGCAAGAGUUGUGGACUCAAGAACUUAAUCUGGCAAUGACUGAGCUGAGAGUUCUUGAGCCACAGGAGGAGAAACUGCUGGAGAUGUGGCUGCCCUUGUGUGUGUCAAGUUCAGAUCAUGCUACAUGGGUUCCAGGACACGAGGGCUGUUACCAGCAAGCCCAUUAUCUCCCAAAUGUGUAAAAACACAUAUAUGGUAUAUGCAUCAGGGUUUCUAAAUUCCUUUUUAUAUGGAUGUCCAUGCCUGGUUCGCUGCUGGACUGCUUCUGGACUGUUGACUGAAAAACAGCAUGUAAUAUUGCUAUACUAUUGCAUGCUUAUUGCUGAUAAAACCAGGCUAACAGCUGAGAGAGCUGGUUUUUUUGUUUUUAUUUGUCAGACCGUAAAACUGAAAUGUUAAUUUCGCCUUCAACAAUAUCUAAUUAGUAACAGUUCCUAUUCAAAAUCUUUAUUUUUAUUGGCUUGAGUUACACUCCAUUUUUUAUAAAGUGUUCUACAAAAUGACUUUUUUAUCAUUUCUUUUAAACUUCAUUAUCUUUUUGAUGACACAGUAAUUUUCACUUCUAUUUCUUAAUCUCCUUUCAGCCAACUUUUUUACUUUGAUUUUUCUCUACAGCAGUGCAUGAUUUUACUCAUCUAUUUUGAUAACUUUUAAUGGAAAUUUACUUUAUCAUAAGGACACCCUACUACUUUUAGAUGGGUUGUGUUUGCCUUCCUAAAAGACUUCUUAAAAGCUGGCUCUCUGCGGCACCUAUUAAAAAUAAUAAAACUGUCCCCCUAGGAUAUAGCUAAGAUCCUAGGAGGUGAACAGAUCAUCAAGAACCUGAAACAGUUUGCAACCGUGUCAGAUAGCUUUGAUAGUCUUUGCAAUCUGUACUAGAGAGUGAUCCUCUCCGCAGCUCAAAGAGAGAGCUCAGGUACUGUAAAGAUUGGCUGACUCUUGUAAAUGCAGUUUUCCUCUAGCUGAAAAAUACAGAUAGGAGCUGAAAUAAUGUGUAAGACAAGCAUCUUGAUGAUAGUCAUUUAUAGAAUUUUUAUCUCCCUGUGAAACAGUUCGAUAAGCUUUUACAGUAUUUUGCAAAACUUUUUUCUGAGUUUAUAAUCAUGGCCUGUUGUCUCUCUAAAUUGGAGGAAGACAUUAUUGGAUCCUUUUUUGGAUACUUGAUGUCUAGCAUUAGGCUUUAAAGCUUCUGUAUCGUGGAGAAACUUUCGAAUAAUCUCCUUUUAGGAUAUUUUUCUUCUAACAUAUAUAAGUUUGAAAGGUUUGAAAAGGAGUCGGUGGCAAGGGGGUCUUAGGGCUAUCUAGUUAUGAACCAAACAAAAGGUAACAGGGGCACAUGAAUUAUGCAAGGUCAUUGGAAGUGCAGAACUAGAAAACUCUUAUAGAGAAUUUUUUUAAAAAUUACUGACUGUGAGCCUAGCAAAAUUGCAUUUACUGGCCAUAACAAGUUGAACAAGACCGUUACAUUUUUUGAGCAAAUAAUAUUAAUCUUUCUUUUUUACAUGACAGCUUUUCAAAUAAUGGAAAACCUGAUUCCUUUUCAGUUACUUUAAGAAACUAAAUCAAGUGUAAAUCUCACCAAUAAAAUCACCACUUGCAUUUGAGACUUCAUCCAUGCCAAUGUAGCACUGCAGUAUUUAAACUCUUUUUCCCAGUCUGCAUCAUAAUUUGCAAAUCACUAAGUGCAGAGAGCUGCAAAGCGGCUGUAGGAACAAAGGACCUACUUUUUGAUUGCAGUUGUUUUUUGUUAACAUAGCUUACCUGCAUCAUAGGCUUAAGCUAAUAAACAUUCAUUUCAUAUUUCUA